This 910-nucleotide ribosomal RNA is filed under the name uncultured Bacteroidota bacterium. RNAcentral describes it as "bacterial SSU rRNA". It matches the Rfam family "Bacterial small subunit ribosomal RNA", at positions 1 to 903 of the family's 1533-position model. Lineage: Bacteria; Pseudomonadati; Bacteroidota. The record is from RNAcentral.
UGGAUCCAGACUUUGAUUAUGGCUCAGGAUGAACGCUAGCUACAGGCUUAACACAUGCAAGCCGAGGGGCAGCAUAAACUUAGCUUGCUAAGUUUGAUGGCGACCGGCGCACGGGUGAGUAACGCGUAUCCAACCUCCCGUACACUCAGGGAUAGCCUUUCGAAAGAAAGAUUAAUACCUGAUGGUAUGAUGAGAUUGCAUGAUAGCAUCAUUAAAGAUUUAUCGGUGUACGAUGGGGAUGCGUUCCAUUAGGUAGUAGGCGGGGUAACGGCCCACCUAGCCAACGAUGGAUAGGGGUUCUGAGAGGAAGGUCCCCCACAUUGGAACUGAGACACGGUCCAAACUCCUACGGGAGGCAGCAGUGAGGAAUAUUGGUCAAUGGACGAGAGUCUGAACCAGCCAAGUAGCGUGAAGGAUGAAGGUCCUACGGAUUGUAAACUUCUUUUAUAAGGGAAUAAACCCUCCCACGUGUGGGAGCUUGUAUGUACCUUAUGAAUAAGCAUCGGCUAACUCCGUGCCAGCAGCCGCGGUAAUACGGAGGAUGCGAGCGUUAUCCGGAUUUAUUGGGUUUAAAGGGAGCGCAGACGGGUCGUUAAGUCAGCUGUGAAAGUUUGGGGCUCAACCUUAAAAUUGCAGUUGAUACUGGCGUCCUUGAGUGCGGUUGAGGUGUGCGGAAUUCGUGGUGUAGCGGUGAAAUGCUUAGAUAUCACGAAGAACUCCGAUUGCGAAGGCAGCACACUAAUCCGUAACUGACGUUCAUGCUCGAAAGUGUGGGUAUCAAACAGGAUUAGAUACCCUGGUAGUCCACACGGUAAACGAUGGAUACUCGCUGUUGGCGAUGUACUGUCAGCGGCUUAGCGAAAGCGUUAAGUAUCCCACCUGGGGAGUACGCCGGCAACGGUGCAACUCA